CUCUCUCCCCGCCCCUUCCCCUUCAUUGAUCGCCCCUUGCCUCCACCGAAAUAAAAAUAAAUAAUUAAACUAUCCACGAGUAAGAGUCGCCUCCAAAGCAGAGGCUCUUACAUCUCUCACACCGCCACUUGGAGUUUUUCGAGGACUUCGGACUUAGGCCUUUUGGGAUUUGGAGUUCCGCAGGGUGGAAGCUAAAGGAGGUGCAUCUUAACUACACGGCCCCGGUUUCCUUCACACACAACCCAUUUGGAGCUGGGUCUGGAGAAACCUGUAACAGUCUAUGGCCCUACCACUUGGACGCAUCAUAUCUCAGAAGCUAAACAGAGUCCGGCCUGGCUAGCAUUUGGUUGGAUUAGAGAUUAGUCACCGUGAGGAAGCCAAAUCGGAUCCGGGAGUCUUUUUCUAAAGGCCAGUACUGGCCACAUUUUCUCCUGCCGCCUUCCUCAAAGCUGAAGACAUACAGAGCAAGUUAAGCCUUCUCUCUUCAACUAGCUGUAAGCCGCUUCCCACCACAACUGCUGAGCUCCUAGGCAGCAAUGUGAUCUGCACUGCUUCUGAAGUCUGCACUGAUUCUUGGCAGAAAAAUGACAUCUCUUCCUUCUAAACAAGUGUUAAAACAGCUAACAUUCUUACAUGUAUACAUUUAGCAGACAUGCAUUGUACAUUCACUGUAUCAUCUGUCUCCUUCCUGAUACUUGGUUGUAUUUCCUACAUAUAGUAGCAAAUCCACACUGAGGCCUAGACCUUGGCCACUGCUCAGUUUCUUUCGACGAAGGGCCCUUGGCUGACACAGGAGUGGGGAAGACAAUUCUCCCAACUACAGGUGGCUGUUGACAAUGCUCUGAGGACGGGAACUGAGGGAGCAUCGCUUUUCUUCCCUAUCUGAAAAAGGUAGAGAUAUUAAUGAACAGAAGAGCCAUCAAAAGAAGGAGGAAAUGGAGAGCAAAGGGAACUGGUAAUGCAGUGGCCAGGAAGGCACCUUUCCUCUGUAGACAAGAGGCAGCUUCAAGGUGUGCUGCUGGCAUUUCCCAGCACGUCCUUUUGUGAAUAAGGCCAGAACCCCAGGAUAGGCUUUAGCGCACUAGCCCUGGGUCCCUACAGUUACGGAUUAAAUAUUUCUGCAAGGCUAACAC
Mus musculus (house mouse) is the source of this 1133-nucleotide long non-coding RNA. RefSeq annotates it as predicted gene 10658. NCBI's taxonomy places the organism in Eukaryota, Metazoa, Chordata, Mammalia, Rodentia, Muridae. The record is from RefSeq and is marked validated. The transcript is spliced from 3 exons.